CAUGCAGGCGGUCAGGCGCGUUUUGUGUGACAGCGGAGGGCUUAACUCUCCGAGGAUACGAGAUACGGCGUGACUUGAGAGCGCGAGAGGGACACGGAAUUCCGGGUGGAGUGGUGAAAUGCGUAGAGAUCCGGAGGAACACCGAAGGCGAAGGCAGUGUCCUGGCGCGUAUCUGACGCUGAGGUGCGAAAGCCAGGGGAGCGAACGGGAUUAGAUACCCCGGUAGUCCUGGCCGUAAACGAUGACCACUAGGUGUAGGAGGUAUCGACCCCUUCUGUGCCGUAGUUAACACAAUAAGUGGUCCGCCUGGGGAGUACGGUCGCAAGAUUAAA
This 332-nucleotide ribosomal RNA is filed under the name uncultured bacterium. RNAcentral's name for it is "bacterial SSU rRNA". It matches the Rfam family "Bacterial small subunit ribosomal RNA", at positions 568 to 898 of the family's 1533-position model. The record is from RNAcentral.